CCUACGGGAGGCAGCAGUGAGGAAUAUUGGUCAAUGGUCGGGAGACUGAACCAGCCAAGCCGCGUGAGGGAUGAAGGUACAGAGUAUCGUAAACCUCUUUUGUCAGGGAACAAAGGCGGGGACGUGUCCCCGGAUGAGUGUACCUGAAGAAAAAGCAUCGGCUAACUCCGUGCCAGCAGCCGCGGUAAUACGGAGGAUGCGAGCGUUAUCCGGUUUUAUUGGGUUUAAAGGGUGCACAGGCGGUCUGUUACGUCGGCGGUAAAAGCCCGGGGCUCACCCCCGGCCCGCCGUUGAAACUGGCAGUCUCGAGUUGGAGAGAAGUAUGCGGAAUGCGCGGUGUAGCGGUGAAAUGCAUAGAUAUCGCGCAGAACUCCGAUUGCGAAGGCAGCAUGCCGGCUCCACACUGACGCUGAGGCACGAAAGCGUGGGUAUCGAACAGGAUUAGAUACCCCUGUAGUC
This 459-nucleotide ribosomal RNA is filed under the name uncultured bacterium. RNAcentral describes it as "partial 16S ribosomal RNA". It matches the Rfam family "Bacterial small subunit ribosomal RNA", at positions 338 to 795 of the family's 1533-position model. The record is from RNAcentral.